UCGCCUGUUUAUCAAAAACAUGGUUUCUUGAAGUAUAUAGGAAAUCUAACCUGCCCACUGAGGAUUUUGAAGGGCCGCAGUAUUUUGACUGUGCAAAGGUAGCAUAAUCAUUAGUCUUUUAAUUGAGGGCUGGUAUGAAUGGUUGGACGAGGUAAAGUCUGUCUUAUUAUAAUUAUAAUUGAAAUUAGAAGUUAAGUUAAAAUUCUUAAGUGUAUUUAGGGGACGAGAAGACCCUAUAGAGUUUAAUAAAGUGUAUAUAAUUGAUUAAGUUUAAUGUUAAUUUUUAAUUAAUUAUUUACUUUAUUUGGUUGGGGUGAUUUAAAGAUAUAUAAAACUCUUUAUAGAUAUUAAUAUUAUAUAUAGUUUAUUGAUCCAUAAUAUUGUGAUUAAAAGAUUAAAUUACCUUAGGGAUAACAGCAUAAUUCUUUUGAAGAGUUCAUAUCGAAAAAGGAGUUUGUGACCUCGAUGUUGGAUUAAGAUAAAUUUUGGGUGUAGAUGUUUAAAAUAUUAGGUCUGUUCGACCUUUAAUUUCUUACAUGAUCUGAGUUCAAACCGGAGA
This 559-nucleotide ribosomal RNA is filed under the name Amorphoscelis borneana. Its description in RNAcentral is "partial 16S ribosomal RNA". It matches the Rfam family "Bacterial large subunit ribosomal RNA", at positions 1796 to 2622 of the family's 2925-position model. The record is from RNAcentral. Lineage: Eukaryota; Metazoa; Arthropoda; Insecta; Mantodea; Hymenopodidae.